CAGAGGGUGCAAGCGUUGUUCGGAAUCACUGGGCGUAAAGCGCGCGCAGGCGGAUGGUUGCGUCUGGAGUGAAAUUUCGCCGCUCAACGGCGAAGCUGCUUUGGAUACGGACCGUCUGGGGACCGGUAGAGGCUGGUAGAAUUGCAGGUGUAGCGGUGGAAUGCGUAGAGAUCUGCAAGAAUACCCGUGGCGAAGGCGGCCAGCUGGGCCGGAUCCGACGCUGAGGCGCGAAAGCGUGGGGAGCAAACAGGAUUAGAUACCCUGGUAGUCCACGCCGUAAACGAUGGGCACUAGGUGCCGGGGGGAGCGACCCCUUCGGUGCCGCAGCUAACGCGAUAAGUGCCCCGCCUGGGGAGUACGGCCGCAAGGCUG
This 372-nucleotide ribosomal RNA is filed under the name uncultured organism. RNAcentral describes it as "bacterial SSU rRNA". It matches the Rfam family "Bacterial small subunit ribosomal RNA", at positions 526 to 896 of the family's 1533-position model. The record is from RNAcentral.